UGCCCCUGCUGGACAUUUGGGUGGCACCCAACAUGAAGAAACCCAAGAAAGUCUCAAGAAUCCGCCCAUCGCUGGUCUUGGGCUGGGCUGACCGCAGCUUCGUUGUCUCUUUUAAAUCAGCUGAGAGGAUGGAGCAAUGGUAUAAGGAGCUUUGUAGCAACAUUUACAGUGAGAACAUGGACUAUGUGGACG
This is a long non-coding RNA of Erinaceus europaeus (western European hedgehog), 192 nucleotides long. RefSeq lists it as uncharacterized. Lineage: Eukaryota; Metazoa; Chordata; Mammalia; Eulipotyphla; Erinaceidae. The transcript has 3 exons. The record is from RefSeq and is a predicted model, not a curated record.